This 376-nucleotide ribosomal RNA is filed under the name uncultured organism. Its description in RNAcentral is "partial 16S ribosomal RNA". It matches the Rfam family "Bacterial small subunit ribosomal RNA", at positions 527 to 897 of the family's 1533-position model. The record is from RNAcentral.
GUAGGUGGCAAGCGUUGUCCGGAAUUAUUGGGGCGUAAAGCGCGCGCAGGCGGUCCUUUAAGGUCUGAUGUGAAAGCCCACGGGCUCAACCGUGGAGGGUCAUUGGAAACUGGGGGACUUGAGUACAGAAGAGGAAAGCGGAAUUCCAAGUGUAGCGGUGAAAUGCGUAGAGAUUUGGAGGAACACCAGUGGCGAAGGCGGCUUCCUGGUCUGUAACUGACGCUGAGGCGCGAAAGCGUGGGGAGCAAACAGGAUUAGAUGCCCUGGUAGUCCACGCCGUAAACGAUGAGUGCUAAGUGUUAGGGGGUUUCCGCCCCUUAGUGCUGCAGCUAACGCAUUAAGCACUCCGCCUGGGGAGUACGGCCGCAAAGGCUGA